UAUGUGUUGUUGGGUAGGGGAGCGUUCUGUAAGCCUGUGAAGGUGUACUGUGAGGUAUGCUGGAGGUAUCAGAAGUGCGAAUGCUGACAUAAGUAACGAUAAAGCGGGUGAAAAGCCCGCUCGCCGGAAGACCAAGGGUUCCUGUCCAACGUUAAUCGGGGCAGGGUGAGUCGACCCCUAAGGCGAGGCCGAAAGGCGUAGUCGAUGGGAAACAGGUUAAUAUUCCUGUACUUGGUGUUACUGCGAAGGGGGGACGGAGAAGGCUAUGUUGGCCGGGCGACGGUUGUCCCGGUUUAAGCGUGUAGGCUGGUUUUCCAGGCAAAUCCGGAAAAUCAAGGCUGAGGCGUGAUGACGAGGCACUACGGUGCUGAAGCAACAAAUGCCCUGCUUCCAGGAAAAGCCUCUAAGCAUCAGGUAACAUCAAAUCGUACCCCAAACCGACACAGGUGGUCAGGUAGAGAAUACCAAGGCGCUUGAGAGAACUCGGGUGAAGGAACUAGGCAAAAUGGUGCCGUAACUUCGGGAGAAGGCACGCUGAUAUGUAGGUGAAGCGACUUGCUCGUGGAGCUGAAAUCAGUCGAAGAUACCAGCUGGCUGCAACUGUUUAUUAAAAACACAGCACUGUGCAAACACGAAAGUGGACGUAUACGGUGUGACGCCUGCCCGGUGC
RNAcentral lists this ribosomal RNA (670 nucleotides) under Escherichia coli. RNAcentral describes it as "partial 23S ribosomal RNA". It matches the Rfam family "Bacterial large subunit ribosomal RNA", at positions 1215 to 1869 of the family's 2925-position model. Lineage: Bacteria; Pseudomonadati; Pseudomonadota; Gammaproteobacteria; Enterobacterales; Enterobacteriaceae. The record is from RNAcentral.